RNAcentral lists this ribosomal RNA (497 nucleotides) under uncultured bacterium. RNAcentral's name for it is "partial 16S ribosomal RNA". It matches the Rfam family "Bacterial small subunit ribosomal RNA", at positions 28 to 507 of the family's 1533-position model. The record is from RNAcentral.
GACGAACGCUGGCGGCGUGCCUAAUACAUGCAAGUUGAGCGAUGAAGCUUGGUGCUUGCACCAAUUUGAAGAGCAGCGCACGGGUGAGUAACGCGUGGGGAAUCUGCCUUUGAGCGGGGGACAACAUUUGGAAACGAAUGCUAAUACCGCAUAACAACUUUAAACAUAAGUUUUAAGUUUGAAAGAUGCAAUUGCAUCACUCAAAGAUGAUCCCGCGUUGUAUUAGCUAGGUGGUGAGGUAAAGGCUCACCAAGGCGAUGAUACAUAGCCGACCUGAGAGGGUGAUCGGCCAGAUUGGGACGGAGACACGGCCCAAACUCAUACGGGAGGCAGCAGUAGGGAAUCUUCGGCAAUGGACGAAAGUCUGACCGAGCAACGCCGCGUGAGUGAAGAAGGUUUUCGGAUCGUAAAACUCUGUUGGUAGAGAAGAACGUUGGUGAGAGUGGAAAGCUCAUCAAGUGACGGUAACUACCCAGAAAGGGACGGCUAACUACGUG